UAGGGAAUYYUYCGCAAUGGACGAAAGUCUGACCGRAGCWACGCCGCGUGAGKGAUGAARGUUUUCGGAUCGUAAAGCUCUGUUGUUAGGGAAGAACAAGUACCGUUCGAAUAGGGCGGUACCUUGACGGUACCUAACCCAGAAAGCCACGGCUAACUACGUGCCAGCAGCCGCGGUAAUACGUAGGUGGCAAGCGUUGUCCGGAAUUAUUGGGCGUAAAGGGCUCGCAGGCGGUUUCUUAAGUCUGAUGUGAAAGCCCCCGGCUCAACCGGGGAGGGUCAUUGGAAACUGGGGAACUUGAGUGCAGAAGAGGAGAGUGGAAUUCCACGUGUAGCGGUGAAAUGCGUAGAGAUGUGGAGGAACACCAGUGGCGAAGGCGACUCUCUGGUCUGUAACUGACGCUGAGGAGCGAAAGCGUGGGGAGCGAACAGGAUUAGAUACCCUGGUAGUCCACGCCGUAAACGAUGAGUGCUAAGUGUUAGGGGGUUUCCGCCCCUUAGUGCUGCAGCUAACGCAUUAAGCACUCCGCCUGGGGAGUACGGUCGCAAGACUGAAACUCAAAGGAAUUGACGGGGGCCCGCACAAGCGGUGGAGCAUGUGGUUUAAUUCGAAGCAACGCGAAGAACCUUACCAGGUCUUGACAUCCUCUGACAAUCCUAGAGAUAGGACGUCCCCUUCGGGGGCAGAGUGACAGGUGGUGCAUGGUUGUCGUCAGCUCGUGUCGUGAGAUGUUGGGUUAAGUCCCGCAACGAGCGCAACCSWUGAUCUUAGYUGCCAGCAUUCAGUUGGKCACUCUAWGGUGACUGGCYGRUGAMMAACCGGAAGGAAGG
Molecule: ribosomal RNA, 830 nt
Filed under: Bacillus subtilis
Lineage: Bacteria; Bacillati; Bacillota; Bacilli; Caryophanales; Bacillaceae
Description: bacterial SSU rRNA
Rfam family: Bacterial small subunit ribosomal RNA
Source: RNAcentral